CAGUAGCCGCGGUAAUACGUAGGUGGCAAGCGUUGUCCGGAAUUAUUGGGCGUAAAGGGCUCGCAGGCGGUUUCUUAAGUCUGAUGUGAAAGCCCCCGGCUCAACCGGGGAGGGUCAUUGGAAACUGGGAAACUUGAGUGCAGAAGAGGAGAGUGGAAUUCCACGUGUAGCGGUGAAAUGCGUAGAGAUGUGGAGGAACACCAGUGGCGAAGGCGACUCUCUGGCCUGUAACUGACGCUGAGGAGCGAAAGCGUGGGGAGCGAACAGGAUUAGAUACCCCCGUAGUCCCUGUCUCUUAUAC
RNAcentral lists this ribosomal RNA (301 nucleotides) under uncultured bacterium. RNAcentral describes it as "partial 16S ribosomal RNA". It matches the Rfam family "Bacterial small subunit ribosomal RNA", at positions 509 to 807 of the family's 1533-position model. The record is from RNAcentral.